CACAAAGAUAGGUGGCGCGUGUUUCAGGGUCUCUCCUCUCUCUCCUACAGAAAAGAAAAAGAAAAAAAUGUCAUUAGAAGAGGCGUAACACGUCAGUCCGUCCCCAGGUUUGUGUUUCCUGGAGUGGCCGAAAGAGAUCAGUUCUAACCUGCUCCGCAGGAAUAACGGUCCUGCCUCCCGACACUCUUGGCGAGGUUUUGUGCAGUUUACUCCGGGAGCUGUUUCUUCGCUUCCACCUUUUUCUCCCCCACACUUCGCGGCUUCUUCAUGCUUUUUCUUCUCACCAUUUCUGGCCAAAACUACAAACAAGACUUCGCAGGAUUCCUCUCCCCCACCCUCACCCCAAUUUCAACUCAACAGGACAGGCAAGAAAUGAUAAAAUGUGUCAAACUUCAAUGAAACGUCUCCUACUGUAUAUGCUUAGGUAAAUUUAAGGUGCUUUCUGAAACAUCCACUUCCCCUUCUCUCCGCACCCCCCCUCCCCUCUCAGCAAACGUGUGGAAACUGAUACUCACUUUCCAGGUUUUCCGCAAAGCUGCUCGCACAGGAGACAAUAGGUGCGGGGCGUGGGGACCGAGUGUGCUCGGCAGAGAAAGGGUUAAUGGCCCUUGUGUUACAGUUUGCAUCUGUUACAUCUUUUAUAGCCCCCUGUUUAAACUAAUCCUGGAGGCACAGCAUCUUCCCAACCUCCACCGAGUUUCAGGAUUCUCCUCCUCUGCUGCCUGACUCCGAGUCUCCUUUCUCCAAGUUUUGACAGAUUCAGCUGAAAACAUGCAGCGCCUCUCUCGAUUUUUAGGUACAAAAGUUUCGAAGCCAGAAAGGAUACCAUCAUUUAGGACAGCUUAGAAGUCUUGCCGUGCUGAUUGUACUUUCUCUUUCCUUUCUGGGGGGGGGGGGGGGGAGAAAAAGCAACAUUUCUGCUGGAACUUUUUAUGGGAACCAGCGUGGGGGAGUAUGUUUGCGAGUGAGGUGGGGGCAAAUACUUAAGCAAAUUUGUCAAAGUGGCGGGGUGGGGGGGGGGAGGGACGGUGUCCAAAGAGGCUUAUAAUUAUAUUUCUUAUUGCGGCGGAGAAUGGGAAAUCUUAAUUUGGGGGCAGAGGGCUGGGGGAGGAAGAGACGGUGCCUUGCUGAACUCUGAGAGGAGAGGGAAGGGGAGGGGGCGCGGGGCGAGUGGGCUUCCUAUAAUUACUAUUAUCAAUUUGCCCGAGUGUUCUUCAUCCAGGGGCUGUUUCGCGUUGUUUGUUUGUUUCUUUCUUUCCUCUCGGGAAAUGGGGCGGCGGGGGGCGGGGGGGUGGCGGUG
This 1300-nucleotide long non-coding RNA is filed under the name Oryctolagus cuniculus (rabbit). RNAcentral's name for it is "lncRNA (ENSOCUG00000033575.1)". The record is from RNAcentral. Lineage: Eukaryota; Metazoa; Chordata; Mammalia; Lagomorpha; Leporidae.